RNAcentral lists this ribosomal RNA (253 nucleotides) under uncultured bacterium. Its description in RNAcentral is "partial 16S ribosomal RNA". It matches the Rfam family "Bacterial small subunit ribosomal RNA", at positions 524 to 776 of the family's 1533-position model. The record is from RNAcentral.
UACGGAGGGCGCAAGCGUUGUCCGGAAUUAUUGGGCGUAAAGAGCUCGUAGGCGGUUUGUCGCGUCUGCUGUGAAAACUCGAGGCUCAACCUCGGGCUUGCAGUGGGUACGGGCAGACUAGAGUGCGGUAGGGGUGACUGGAAUUCCUGGUGUAGCGGUGGAAUGCGCAGAUAUCAGGAGGAACACCGAUGGCGAAGGCAGGUCACUGGGCCGCAACUGACGCUGAGGAGCGAAAGCAUGGGGAGCGAACAGG